UGAAUCGGCCGGGAAUCAAACCUGGGCCGCGCGCGUGGCAGGCGAGCAUUCUACCACUGAACCACCAAUGG
This 71-nucleotide transfer RNA is filed under the name Cordylochernes scorpioides. RNAcentral describes it as "tRNA-Gly". Lineage: Eukaryota; Metazoa; Arthropoda; Arachnida; Pseudoscorpiones; Chernetidae. The record is from RNAcentral.